UACGGAGGGUGCAAGCAUUAAUCGGAAUUAUUGGGCGUAAAGAGCACGUAGGCUGCGAUUUAAGUCAGAUGUGAAACUCCAAGGCUUAACCUUGGACCUGCAUCUGAAACUGAGUCUCUAGAGGUUGAUCGGAGAAAACGGAAUUCCACAAGUAGCGGUGAAAUGCGUAGAUAUGUGGAAGAACACCAGUGGCGAAAGCGGUUUUCUAGAUUACACCUGACGCUGAGGUGCGAAAGCAAGGGGAGCAAAC
This 250-nucleotide ribosomal RNA is filed under the name uncultured bacterium. RNAcentral's name for it is "partial 16S ribosomal RNA". It matches the Rfam family "Bacterial small subunit ribosomal RNA", at positions 524 to 773 of the family's 1533-position model. The record is from RNAcentral.